GACGAACGCUGGCGGCGUGCUUAACACAUGCAAGUCGAACGAUGAAGCCGGAGCUUGCUCUGGUGAAUUAGUGGCGACCGGGUGAGUAACCCGUGAGUAACCUGCCCUUGACUCUGGAAUAACUGCGGGAACCUGUAGCUAAUACCGGAUACGACCCUCGGAGGCAUCCACUGGGGGUGGAAAGAAUUUCGGUCAAGGAUGGACUCGCGGCCUAUCAGCUAGUAGGAGAGGUAAAGGCGCACCAAGGCGACGACGGGUAGCCGGCCUGAGAGGGUGACCGGCCACACUGGGACUGAGACACGGCCCAGACUCCUACGGGAGGCAGCAGUGGGGAAUAUUGCACAAUGGGCGCAAGCCUGAUGCAGCAACGCCGCGUGAGGGAUGACGGCCUUCGGGUUGUAAACCUCUUUUAGCAGGGAAGAAGCGAAAGUGACGGUACCUGCAGAAAAAGCACCGGCUAACUACGUGCCAGCCGCCGCCGUAA
RNAcentral lists this ribosomal RNA (484 nucleotides) under uncultured bacterium. RNAcentral's name for it is "partial 16S ribosomal RNA". It matches the Rfam family "Bacterial small subunit ribosomal RNA", at positions 28 to 523 of the family's 1533-position model. The record is from RNAcentral.